UGGGGAAUUUUGGACAAUGGGGGCAACCCUGAUCCAGCCAUGCCGCGUGAGUGAUGAAGGCCUUAGGGUUGUAAACUGCUUUUGUACGGAACGAAACGGCUCUGGUUAAUACCUGGGGCUAAUGACGGUACCGUAAGAAUAAGCACCGGCUAACUACGUGCCAGCAGCCGCGGUAAUACGUAGGGUGCGAGCGUUAAUCGGAACUACUGGGCGUAAAGCGUGCGCAGGCGGUUAUAUAAGACAGAUGUGAAAUCCCCGGGCUCAACCUGGGACCUGCAUUUGUGACUGUAUAGCUAGAGUACGGUAGAGGGGGAUGGAAUUCCGCGUGUAGCAGUGAAAUGCGUAGAUAUGCGGAGGAACACCGAUGGCGAAGGCAAUCCCCUGGACCUGUACUGACGCUCAUGCACGAAAGCGUGGGGAGCAAACA
RNAcentral lists this ribosomal RNA (427 nucleotides) under uncultured bacterium. Its description in RNAcentral is "bacterial SSU rRNA". It matches the Rfam family "Bacterial small subunit ribosomal RNA", at positions 355 to 774 of the family's 1533-position model. The record is from RNAcentral.